UUAUAGCUCCAAGCUCUUCCCCACAAGAUCCAAAUCCUUACAGCGAAAGUGUCAUUGGUGGAGAUGAAGAUUAUGUUGUUAUUGAAUUGGGUAAUCAUAAUUCAUCAAUCUGUCCUGUGCUGCAAGCAAUGUUUGAUCUCAGGGGAGUUAUCAGUACGUUCGAUUAGCCCUUCACCAAGGAGGAAACUAGAGCAGAGAGGAUCAGCUCUUCACAAGA
This 217-nucleotide unclassified non-coding RNA is filed under the name Hevea brasiliensis (rubber tree). Lineage: Eukaryota; Viridiplantae; Streptophyta; Magnoliopsida; Malpighiales; Euphorbiaceae. The record is from RNAcentral.